AUUGAACGCUGGCGGCAGGCCUAACACAUGCAAGUCGAGCGGUAGAGAGAAGCUUGCUUCUCUUGAGAGCGGCGGACGGGUGAGUAAUGCCUAGGAAUCUGACUGGUAGUGGGGGAUAACGUUCGGAUACGGACGCUAAUACCGCAUACGUCCUACGGGAGAAAGCAGGGGACCUUCGGGCCUUGCGCUAUCAGAUGAGCCUAGGUCUGAUUAGCUAGUUGGUGGGGUAAUGGCUCACCAAGGCGACGAUCCGUAACUGGUCUGAGAGGAUGAUCAGUCACACUGGAACUGAGACACGGUCCAGACUCCUACGGGAGGCAGCAGUGGGGAAUAUUGGACAAUGGGCGAAAGCCUGAUCCAGCCAUGCCACGUGUGUGAAGAAGGUCUUCGGAUUGUAAAGCACUUUAAGUUGGGAGGAAGGGCAGUAAAUUAAUACUUUGCUGUUUUGACGUUACCGACAGAAUAAGCACCGGCUAACUCUGUGCCAGCAGCCGCCGUAA
This 500-nucleotide ribosomal RNA is filed under the name uncultured bacterium. RNAcentral describes it as "partial 16S ribosomal RNA". It matches the Rfam family "Bacterial small subunit ribosomal RNA", at positions 30 to 523 of the family's 1533-position model. The record is from RNAcentral.